Long non-coding RNA from Olea europaea var. sylvestris, 1636 nucleotides. RefSeq lists it as uncharacterized. The record is from RefSeq and is a predicted model, not a curated record. Lineage: Eukaryota; Viridiplantae; Streptophyta; Magnoliopsida; Lamiales; Oleaceae. The transcript has 2 exons.
UAUUAAUUUUGGUCAAAAAUUAAUUUUGAGACCAUUGCCAAUUAUUUGUCUGACAGCCCAUGUGACUUUAAACAGAGAAAAUGGAUUUUUCUUUUCCAUUACUUGCCCUUCCCCACCGACAGCUCAAAGACCCCCACGACCUUCCGCCGACGAGCAAUCGACUUCGGCAAGUCCCACAACCUUUCGAUGCACAAACCAAUAAUCCCCUCGCAAUCUUCAGCCGCACUAACCGGUGACAGUAUUUUCAAUUCCUCAGAGGGUCUGAAGCGCACUUUUUUUGAAGAAGAGGUAACGAUGCCUGAAACAAACUGUCAUCGUCCGUCAACUUAGUAAGUCGCCUCCGAGCCCGGAUCUCCGCAGUGCACGUAUGAAUCCCGUCGACACACAGGAGCUAGGUCGAGCCUCGAGGUCAAAAUCUUAUCCUCAGUGGAAUGUAUCAGAGACCUAAACAUGCAUGGCGGCGUGUGAAACCGCCAUUGCUGAGCGCCAUCGCAACGAUCGUUGUUUUAUGAAACACGGCUGAGAAUGAAUCUCGUCACUGUUCAACUCAAUCACUGGCCACAACUGGAACAAGCAGCAACUAUGCAACCACUAGGACACAUGCGUCGAACCUACAGACAUCUCUCCGAGUUGUUAAAUUCCAGCGGGGUUGCGUACAACGAAUCCAUCGAUCGAGUCGUUGCAUCGGAGGAGUGGUGGAAACGAAAGAUUGAGAUAGUGCUGUUAAUAUCUAUUUUCCUUUACUGUUUUUCAUUAACGCAUGUCGACAUCUACGAAAUCGCAUUGUGGAAAUAACUAACGAUGUACUAUUUUCUUGUGCUUAUGAGCAAUAUUGCUUGACUGUUGCGAUUAUUUUUUCUUGCACAUUCCGAUUUUUCAUUUACAUGUCUUCAUUUUUAACCCUUGGUCAUAGGAAAAUAAAGACUACAAGGACAAGGACGUGAAUGAAAUCUACAUUCACUAUCGUCAACUAUUCGGGGACAGUUACGGUGGGCGAAGUACGCAGUCACUUUGACAAAGUUGUGUCGAACGGGGUUCUAGCUAUUCGAGGAUAGCGUGCUGGAAGACCACCGUAAUGCAAUCCCAAUCGACGAUGAGAGUAGUGGUUCAAGUGAUGAUGCAGAGAAAAUUCCCAUCAGCUCCAACGUGAAUGUCUCUAGCACCACAAGCGGCGCAAAAAGGAAGUCCUCCAGUGGCAAGCGACUGGGGAAGAAGAAAAAAAUAUCUACAAGAGAGCUGUCUUUCUCUGUUGAUCGGGCCACUAGUGCCGUGGAGGAAGUGGCGGCAAACAUUAAAACCAUGAUGACCUCAAAUGAGAACAUUGGCACUGCCUAUGUCAAAGAGUUGUUGGCAACAUGACAUCUUCAGCGGCGGACACCGCUCUACUUUUUUACAUGUGUAGUUCUAGCGAGAAGCGGACAUGUUCGCCGUCAUGAAAGACGCAGAUGAGAAAUUUGAGUGGAUUCAAUGGCUGUUCAACGAGCGUAAUAAACAAUUUCACCUUUGAUUAUGUGCGUUAGGAGUACCUGUGUUUUGUGUCCCAAAAACUGUUUAACUUUUGCAUACAUCGGUCUGUUCCCAUUGUAUGUUGUGUAUUUAAAUAUUAUGCAUGCUAUGAUGCCGAAAUUUUUUUUCA